This is a non-coding RNA of Caenorhabditis elegans, 200 nucleotides long. NCBI's taxonomy places the organism in Eukaryota, Metazoa, Nematoda, Chromadorea, Rhabditida, Rhabditidae. The record is from Ensembl.
AAAAAGAACACAAAACAAGAAUGAAUAAAUAUCUGGCAAAAAAAAUUUAGGUAUCCGGUAGAUGACGUCCCCGUAAGAAGGUGUACGCAUCUAGGCGCUACUACUGGUGCGUCUGUCUGUCAUUUCACCACAAUUACGUUUCUCCACCGCUCUUCUGAAGGUGCUCACUCUAUGUGUGUGUGUAGAAAGAAGGGGCUCUG